RNAcentral lists this ribosomal RNA (255 nucleotides) under uncultured bacterium. Its description in RNAcentral is "partial 16S ribosomal RNA". It matches the Rfam family "Bacterial small subunit ribosomal RNA", at positions 524 to 776 of the family's 1533-position model. The record is from RNAcentral.
UACGUAGGGUGCAAGCGUUGUCCGGGAAUUAUUGGGCGUAAAGAGCUCGUAGGCGGUUUGUCGCGUCUGCUGUGAAAACCUGGGGCUUAACUCCGGGCCUGCAGUGGGUACGGGCAGACUAGAGUGCGGUAGGGGGAGACUGGAAUUCCUGGUGUAGCGGUGGAAUGCGCAGAUAUCAGGAGGAACACCGAUGGCGAAGGCAGAUCUCUGGGCCGUAACUGACGCUGAGGUGCGAAAGCGUGGGGAGCAAACAGG